AUUGAACGCUGGCGGCAGGCUUAACACAUGCAAGUCGAGCGGGGUGAUGGUGCUUGCACUAUCACUUAGCGGCGGACGGGUGAGUAAUGCUUAGGAAUCUGCCUAUUAGUGGGGGACAACAUCUCGAAAGGGAUGCUAAUGCCUCAUACGUCCUACGGGAGAAAGAAGGGGAUCACUUGUGACCUUGCGCUAAUAGAUGAGCCUAAGUCGGAUUAGCUAGUUGGUGGGGUAAAGGCCUACCAAGGCGACGAGCUGUAGCGGGUCUGAGAGGAUGAUCCGCCACACUGGGACUGAGACACGGCCCAGACUCCUACGGGAGGCAGCAGUGGGGAAUAUUGGACAAUGGGGGGAACCCUGAUCCAGCCAUGCCGCGUGUGUGAAGAAGGCCUUAUGGUUGCAAAGCACUUUAAGCGAGGAGGAGGCUCUUUUGGUUAAUACCCAAGAUGAGUGGACGUUACUCGCAGAAUAAGCACCGGCUAACUCUGUGCCAGCCGCCGCCGUAA
RNAcentral lists this ribosomal RNA (503 nucleotides) under uncultured bacterium. RNAcentral describes it as "partial 16S ribosomal RNA". It matches the Rfam family "Bacterial small subunit ribosomal RNA", at positions 30 to 523 of the family's 1533-position model. The record is from RNAcentral.